RNAcentral lists this ribosomal RNA (1039 nucleotides) under Staphylococcus aureus. RNAcentral describes it as "partial 23S ribosomal RNA". It matches the Rfam family "Bacterial large subunit ribosomal RNA", at positions 802 to 1841 of the family's 2925-position model. Lineage: Bacteria; Bacillati; Bacillota; Bacilli; Caryophanales; Staphylococcaceae. The record is from RNAcentral.
GGAUGAACUGAGGGUAGCGGAGAAAUUCCAAUCGAACCUGGAGAUAGCUGGUUCUCUCCGAAAUAGCUUUAGGGCUAGCCUCAAGUGAUGAUUAUUGGAGGUAGAGCACUGUUUGGACGAGGGGCCCCUCUCGGGUUACCGAAUUCAGACAAACUCCGAAUGCCAAUUAAUUUAACUUGGGAGUCAGAACAUGGGUGAUAAGGUCCGUGUUCGAAAGGGAAACAGCCCAGACCACCAGCUAAGGUCCCAAAAUAUAUGUUAAGUGGAAAAGGAUGUGGCGUUGCCCAGACAACUAGGAUGUUGGCUUAGAAGCAGCCAUCAUUUAAAGAGUGCGUAAUAGCUCACUAGUCGAGUGACACUGCGCCGAAAAUGUACCGGGGCUAAACAUAUUACCGAAGCUGUGGAUUGUCCUUUGGACAAUGGUAGGAGAGCGUUCUAAGGGCGUUGAAGCAUGAUCGUAAGGACAUGUGGAGCGCUUAGAAGUGAGAAUGCCGGUGUGAGUAGCGAAAGACGGGUGAGAAUCCCGUCCACCGAUUGACUAAGGUUUCCAGAGGAAGGCUCGUCCGCUCUGGGUUAGUCGGGUCCUAAGCUGAGGCCGACAGGCGUAGGCGAUGGAUAACAGGUUGAUAUUCCUGUACCACCUAUAAUCGUUUUAAUCGAUGGGGGGACGCAGUAGGAUAGGCGAAGCGUGCGAUUGGAUUGCACGUCUAAGCAGUAAGGCUGAGUAUUAGGCAAAUCCGGUACUCAUUAAGGCUGAGCUGUGAUGGGGAGAAGACAUUGUGUCUUCGAGUCGUUGAUUUCACACUGCCGAGAAAAGCCUCUAGAUAGAAAAUAGGUGCCCGUACCGCAAACCGACACAGGUAGUCAAGAUGAGAAUUCUAAGGUGAGCGAGCGAACUCUCGUUAAGGAACUCGGCAAAAUGACCCCGUAACUUCGGGAGAAGGGGUGCUCUUUAGGGUUAACGCCCAGAAGAGCCGCAGUGAAUAGGCCCAAGCGACUGUUUAUCAAAAACACAGGUCUCUGCUAAACCGUAAGGUGA